RNAcentral lists this ribosomal RNA (301 nucleotides) under uncultured bacterium. Its description in RNAcentral is "partial 16S ribosomal RNA". It matches the Rfam family "Bacterial small subunit ribosomal RNA", at positions 509 to 807 of the family's 1533-position model. The record is from RNAcentral.
CAGCAGCCGCGGUAAUACAGAGGGUGCAAGCGUUAAUCGGAAUUACUGGGCGUAAAGCGCGCGUAGGUGGUUUGUUAAGUUGGAUGUGAAAGCCCCGGGCUCAACCUGGGAACUGCAUCCAAAACUGGCAAGCUAGAGUACGGUAGAGGGUGGUGGAAUUUCCUGUGUAGCGGUGAAAUGCGUAGAUAUAGGAAGGAACACCAGUGGCGAAGGCGACCACCUGGACUGAUACUGACACUGAGGUGCGAAAGCGUGGGGAGCAAACAGGAUUAGAUACCCCGGUAGUCCCUGUCUCUUAUAC